GAGAAUUUAAAAAUAACAUUCCAAUUUGAGAAGACAUUGUAACCAUAAAGCAAGAACAGAAUGCUGCGAAAAGGAACAAAGUGUAUGAAAAUGGAUUUUUAGAAGGUCUUUUCUUUGUCAUCAGUGUUUUAUCUUGUGAAGCAGAUUCUGCUACCUGCCUCCCCAGCAGGCCUUAUCAUGGAGCCCCAUUUCGUUCAGUCUGGGGCAGUGUCAGGCCCUGGGAAAUGGGUCUAACCAAUCUAAACAGAUCCUGGCAUCUCAGCUCCUCUUGCUGGUGACCACUUCAGGCUGGCCAGUGAGUUAGUUGUAAGCCUACAUCUGCUAUGAAGGUGUCUGGAAGAGGUUUUUUCCACCGUCACAAAAAUCCACAAGGAAAGAAAAAGCCACUCAUUUUUGCCUUCUCUGUUGUGUGGCAAGAAUGUGAUUUUUGGAGAACCAUAGGCUUUUCACACCCGGGAGAGAAGGUUCUGCCCACACAUAGGGGAGGCUGCAAGUAGAAGGCCAUUUUCAUCCACGAAGGCAUCAGUGAGCUGCUGAGCCAGCCCCAGCCCCGGGGCCACCUUCAUGCACCCAGUGGAAGGCAGGUACUCAGUGUCCUCUCUGCCGGGGUAAGGACACAGGGUUUCUGGUACUUGUGCAGGACGCACCAGUUGGUACACUUGGCCAGGAGGCCAGUGCCCUCCCAGGCUUGGGGACCACAGUGGGAAGGAAAGGCGGCUUUUCCGGAGACUGUGCAACCUGCUGUUAGCAGAGGCCCUUUUGAAGUUACUUAGAGCUCAAGGUGAUCAACUGUUAUUUGUUCAGUGCCUGGAAUCCAAAGAUUAUUCAUCUGCUCAGAUCAAGAAGGCCAUGGGUCUCAUCCAUGAAGAGCUUCCAGGGCAAGAGGACUUUGUGGUUUCUAUACCUGACCCUGAGGGUCUUCAGGAUCUCAAAGUUUCUCGUCCUGGUCCGAGAGAGAAAAGAAUAGUAUUCUGUGGUCCAGGAAAAUGCCAAGAUGACUAAGCUUGGGCUGACAUCUUGUGGUUGGGCAUGAAAUAGGCGCUUCACUAAGAAAUUACUCUUGAAGACUGACCAAGGGGUGGGAAGGGUGGUACCCUGAGAAAAGAAAAUAAUAAUAACUACUUAAUUUUUUCAGAUUCUAUGAUGAUAUUAUU
Molecule: long non-coding RNA, 1154 nt
Filed under: Equus caballus (horse)
Lineage: Eukaryota; Metazoa; Chordata; Mammalia; Perissodactyla; Equidae
Description: lncRNA (ENSECAG00000051491.1)
Source: RNAcentral